CAGUCGCCGCGGUAAUACGAAGGGUGCGAGCGUUAAUCGGAAUUACUGGGCGUAAAGCGCGCGUAGGUGGUUUGUUAAGUUGGAUGUGAAAUCCCCGGGCUCAACCUGGGAACUGCAUUCAAAACUGACUGACUAGAGUAUGGUAGAGGGUGGUGGAAUUUCCUGUGUAGCAGUGAAAUGCGUAGAGAUGUGGAGGAACACCGAUGGCGAAGGCAGCCCCCUGGGCCAAUACUGACGCUCAUGCACGAAAGCGUGGGGAGCAAACAGGAUUAGAUACCCCAGUAGUCCCUGUCUCUUAUAA
RNAcentral lists this ribosomal RNA (301 nucleotides) under uncultured bacterium. RNAcentral's name for it is "partial 16S ribosomal RNA". It matches the Rfam family "Bacterial small subunit ribosomal RNA", at positions 509 to 809 of the family's 1533-position model. The record is from RNAcentral.